Molecule: ribosomal RNA, 200 nt
Filed under: uncultured bacterium
Lineage: Bacteria
Description: partial 16S ribosomal RNA
Rfam family: Bacterial small subunit ribosomal RNA
Source: RNAcentral
GACCUUCGGCUUAACCGGAGAAGUGCAUCGGAAACUAGGAUAACUUGAGUGCAGAAGAGGGUAGGUGGAACUCCAUGUGUAGCGGUGGAAUGCGUAGAUAUAUGGAAGAACACCAGUGGCGAAGGCGGCUACCUGGUCUGCAACUGACGCUGAGACUCGAAAAGCAUGGGGUAGCGAAACAGGAUUAGAUACCCUGGUAG